GAUGAACGCUGGCGGCGUGCCUAAUACAUGCAAGUCGAACGCAUUGUGGUUGAAAUGAUAUGAAGAACUUGUUCAGAUUUGAUUUUCAACAUUGCAAUGAGUGGCGAACGGGUGAGUAACACGUGGGAAACCUACCUCUUAGCAGGGGAUAACAUUUGGAACAAAUGCUAAUACCGUAUAAUAAUUAAAACCGCAUGGUUUUAGUUUAAAAGAUGGUCUUGCUAUCACUAAGAGAUGGUCCCGCGGUGUAUUAGUUAGUUGGUGAGGUAAUGGCUCACCAAGCAAUGAUACAUAGCCGAGUUGAGAGACUGACCGGCACAAUGGGA
Molecule: ribosomal RNA, 326 nt
Filed under: uncultured bacterium
Lineage: Bacteria
Description: bacterial SSU rRNA
Rfam family: Bacterial small subunit ribosomal RNA
Source: RNAcentral